Molecule: small nuclear RNA, 107 nt
Filed under: Carlito syrichta (Philippine tarsier)
Lineage: Eukaryota; Metazoa; Chordata; Mammalia; Primates; Tarsiidae
Source: RNAcentral
GUGUUUGCUUAGGCAGCAUAUAUACUAAAUUUGGAACAACGCAGAGAAGAUUAGCUUGGCCCCUGCACAAGGAUGGGACACAAAUUUAUGAAAUGUUCCAUUUUUCU